GAGGAAUAUUGGUCAAUGGGCGUAAGCCUGAACCAGCCAUCCCGCGUGAAGGAAGAAGGCGCUAUGCGUCGUAAACUUCUUUUCCAGAGGAAUAAAAUUUUGUACGAGUACAGAACUGAAGGUACUUUGGGAAUAAGCAUCGGCUAACUCCGUGCCAGCAGCCGCGGUAAUACGGAGGAUGCGAGCGUUAUCCGGAUUUAUUGGGUUUAAAGGGUGCGUAGGCGGAUUAAUAAGUCAGUGGUGAAAACCUUCAGCUUAACUGGAGAACUGCCAUUGAUACUGUUAGUCUUGAGUACGGUCAAGGUAGGCGGAAUGUGUAAUGUAGCGGUGAAAUGCUUAGAUAUUACACAGAACACCGAUUGCGAAGGCAGCUUACUGGGCCAUUACUGACGCUGAUGCACGAAAGCGUGGGGAGCGAAC
RNAcentral lists this ribosomal RNA (420 nucleotides) under uncultured bacterium. RNAcentral describes it as "bacterial SSU rRNA". It matches the Rfam family "Bacterial small subunit ribosomal RNA", at positions 356 to 773 of the family's 1533-position model. The record is from RNAcentral.